This 253-nucleotide ribosomal RNA is filed under the name uncultured bacterium. RNAcentral's name for it is "partial 16S ribosomal RNA". It matches the Rfam family "Bacterial small subunit ribosomal RNA", at positions 524 to 776 of the family's 1533-position model. The record is from RNAcentral.
UACGAAGGGGGCUAGCGUUGCUCGGAAUCACUGGGCGUAAAGCGCUCGUAGGCGGAUUGUUAAGUCAGGGGUGAAAUCCUGGAGCUCAACUCCAGAACUGCCUUUGAUACUGGCGAUCUCGAGUCCGGGAGAGGUGAGUGGAACUGCGAGUGUAGAGGUGAAAUUCGUAGAUAUUCGCAAGAACACCAGUGGCGAAGGCGGCUCACUGGCCCGGUACUGACGCUGAGGUGCGAAAGCGUGGGGAGCAAACAGG